GAUGUUAUUUCCCUUAUUUCUUGUGCGUUUGUGUCAGGAGAAACCAGAGGAGGAGAAGCAGUCGAUGGCAGACCUCGGCCUGACAGACACUGAAGCACAGCAGCUGCUGGACAAAGACAAGGAGAAGAGCCUGCAGGAACAGGACACUGAAGAUUCGAAAGAAGGGACGUCUGUUUGACAGAAUAAACCAAACAAGUCAAGUGCCU
Danio rerio (zebrafish) is the source of this 206-nucleotide non-coding RNA. NCBI's taxonomy places the organism in Eukaryota, Metazoa, Chordata, Actinopteri, Cypriniformes, Danionidae. The record is from RefSeq and is a predicted model, not a curated record.